Molecule: long non-coding RNA, 1641 nt
Organism: Austrofundulus limnaeus
Lineage: Eukaryota; Metazoa; Chordata; Actinopteri; Cyprinodontiformes; Rivulidae
Exons: 2
Source: RefSeq, a predicted model, not a curated record
GGUGAGGUCACAGACUGAAUGGUGAGGUCACAGAUAGGAUGGUGAGGUCACAGACUGAAUGGUGAGGUCACAGACUGGAUGAUGUGUUAGAGUUGAGCCAUCAUGGAGGUAGAACAUGGAGGUAGAACAUGGAGGUAGAACAUGGAGGUAGAACAUGGAACCUAAGCGUUGGAACAAAUGAAAGGAGCAGUGUUUGUAAUAAGUAGGACUGUUUGAUCAGAGUUCAGACUCAGACAUGAUGGAUCAUGUCAGUUUGUUUAUGGAGCAGAUCAUCAGCUGUUCUUCACAUCAUCCUGUCUUCUCUGAGGAUGUAGCAGCUGUCAGUCACUGAUCUGCUGGUURUUUAUCAUCUUUGAAWGUUUUCUUUACGAAGCCUCACUGAUCAGCUUCAUCUACCGCUGCAAUAAGAGCUUCAAACCAAAGAGCGCUGCUCGGCGGCGCCCCCUGCAGACGCACAGAGGGAGGACAGGUGUAAAUGUUACAGAGCUGUGUGUAUAUUUGAAGUGUUUUUAUCUUUUUUAAACGUGAAACCUGACGGUGCGUUCACUGUCACAGGCAAUCAUGGGAAAACUGAGUGAUUUAUGUUGUAGCUGUGUGGAGACGUGAUGAUUAUAGAUCAGGAGAUAUUUGUUAGUUUACUCUGAUUUAAGGCUCUGCUCAGAGCGAAGCAUGCUGGGAGAAAAAGCGGAGCAGCUGAGGGCUUUAAGGUGUUUUUGUUAAAACAACCAAUGGGAGCUGCAGCAGCACCCACAACGAUGARGAUGARGAUGARGARGAUGACGAUGARGAUGAUGAUGAUGACAUGAGAAGUGAUUCUGAUUGGUCCGAGCAGCAUGACAUCAGAAGCUCUGCUGGCUCUGGAACCGUCCAAUCACAGGACAAUCCUGGACCCUGCUGCCACCGCCGGGGCUGAUGGGAAAUGAAGUUUCCUUUCUUUUUGUUUGUUUGUUUUUAUUUCCYGUUUGGGCCUCUGAUUGGCUGCUUGUUUUUGUGUGUAUUCAUUUGCUUCCUGUCCCAAGCAUUUUAGCCCCACCCCCGUCUCCACCCUUUGGUUAAUGAUGUCAUCAUUUAGCAAAAUUAGAAUUAUUUAAAGGUAUAAGUGCCAUUAAUAUUUGUUUUUGUUUUUUUGGAUGCUGCUAAAGGAGCUUCGUGGCUGUCCUGCAACUUCCUGUGUGUGUCUGUGUGUGUCUGUGUGUGUGUAUCUGGGAUAAUUUAGCAUCAUAUUCUAAAAUAUGUGUUUCUCUUUUUAAAGCUGUUUUUUUUUGUCCUUUUUAAUUUACUUUUUAUUGUAUUUGUUGAUUUUUGUUUUAUUUUGUUUUGGAGAUUUGAGGAGGAAAAGGGGGAGGGGCCUGAGGGGUUGUUGCCAGGUGACCCUGGUUUCAGAACAUUUAGAGGAAAACAACCCUCAGUGACUGUCCCCGCCCAUCCAUACCUCCAUCCAAUCAGAUCCUCAGAAUGUGUGACACAGAGUCACAAACAUGGACAUGAUGACAUCAUGAUGUAAGCUCUUCCUAUUGGCCCAGAGCUCCUCYGCUGUGUUUCUGUCGGUGUUGGUUUGUUGUUGUUUUUGUUUGUUGUAUCAGGAACCAAUCUCAGGCUCUGCAGACAACAUGAUGGCAAUAAAGUGUCAACAACUCUUCA